AUUUUUAACCUUAAACGGUUAAUUUACAGCACGAUUUAUGAUAAUUUUAUUAUGUUAGAUCGUGAUCAACAAUUAACGAAUGUAAAUUAUUGAUAGUAGUAAAUAAUAAUAAAUAUUUUUAUUCAAUGAUUUCAACUUAUUACUUAAUGAAGUGAUCAGUAUUAUAGAAUAAGUAAUACAUUUUAAUGAUAUGUCGACGAAAUGUUGACAAAGAAGAAUUUGGCGUAUCCGUCUUCUGUAUCACAAAAAAAAAUAAUAAAAACAAAGUACCUACUAGGUAUACCAAUUACAAUUAUUUCAAAUUUAUCAAUUAAAAAAUUGUAUGAAGAGCCUUUAUCAUUCAAUUUGAGGGAAUGUCAAGUCCAAUUAAGUAUAUCUUAAACCAAGUAAUUGAUAAGUCAUCCUUAUUACUUUUUACAUAUUUGCAAUAUAAUGCACCAAAAUCUUCAAAAACUUCGAUUGUUAAGAAAGUAUUUACUUUAAACGUUAAAUAAUCAACAAAGAAAGUGUACCUAAUGUGUACUUACCUUUCAAUGCAAGAAUCAAAGAAGAUAUGAAAUAAGAAAAAAAUUAUUACUUAAUAAUUUUUAAUGGUGACAUUAAUAUACAUUUUAUUGCUCGAACAACAACUGGCCUAAACUAGAAGAAAUAUUUUUCAACAAUAUGUAUGCAAAUUGAAAACUAUGUAGUAUUUUGAUUUAUUUAUAAAUAAAGUACUAUAAUAAAACUAAGAAGUUUAAUUUGUUGGUUACCGCGGGUCAUUACAAGCAUUGUGGACUAGGUACUGACCAUUAAAAAAAAAAAGGCUCGUCAUAAAAUUUCCAUAAAUAUGAUCCAAUUACUACAAUUAGUUUACUGUUUGAUGUGUCAGAACAAACAUAGAACAUUAACUGGUGAUAAACUUUAUUUGGAUUCAUCUAAAUUCUCAUUAUUGUCAAAACAAAAUCAAAUAGAAAGUCUUAUCACAAAAUGUAAAAGUGACUUUCCACAUGGAUUUCAUAAUUCAACAAUGUAUACCUACUCACAACAUUGAAUAUCACAUAAUAUCUUGACUGUUUGAAUAUUAACAUACAUGCACUACACCAGCUAUGCAAUCUAACUGUACCAAUAGAUAAAUUAAGUAUGAUUAAAUUAGUUAAAUUAUAAAAAACAUAUGUUAUAGGUGUUAUAAUUUUAAUAAUAAUACUAUACUGAGAAAAAUCUAAAAUUCUACAAAAUACUUAGCAAAGACAACUUUUUCUAAAUUUAACAAAAUGUGAGACUAAGGUCGUAGACUUCUAGCGUAUAAAGAUCUUUAUUUAGUUCUAUUUUUUUCAAAUUUAUCUAUAUCUUUGUCACAGAUGAGGUGGAUUAUAAGCAGGAAACUUUUUCAUUUUUUUUCUUAGAAGUAACGAUUAGAUUUGUUGAAUUACUAAAAGAUUUUAGAUUUUACACAAAUACUCUGCUUAUGCAAUCCGUUAAGUAAAUUCUAUUAUUUUUUGUAUAUUUAGUGAAUUUAGUCAGUAUUUCAGAAAAAAAAAUGAUUUUACUAAAUUUUUGUCUUAACAGCAAUCAUUAAUGUGCGCAAUUGCAUCCCUUGUUUCUUUCAAUAACUAAAAGAUAUAACUAAUUGAUAUUAGCUAUAUAGUUUUAAUAUAGUCAUUGAUCAUGAAUAUUAGUUGUUAAUGCUUAUGAACUGUUAAUUUUUAAUUAUUAAUAAUAUUGUUAUAUUACAAUGAAGGUUAAAUAAAAAAGUUGAUUUUUAAAUUAAACAUGUCUGUGCAUGCCUGUAACAAUAUUAUAUUUGAUGCAUCUUUUCGGAUUUAAUAUGUAAAAUGUAUGUUUAAUUAAUAUUAUUUAAUUAUUAAAUAAAAGUUAAACAGUAGGGCCCACAAAUAUCGAUAAAUGCAAGUUUAUUAAUGUUGCUGUUAAGAUACUUACCUUUUAGUACAUACCUACUAUAAGUAGGUAUCAAAAUAAAUAAAUUAUUAUUUAAUAAUUACCAUCGUAUUUUUAUUUAAAGGUUUUUUUUUUUAACAUUAUUAUUUUACGGCCAACAUUUAGGUUUUUGAUAAUGAAUAACCUCUCCUCUUUUUCUGUCUUGAGUAGGACACCUUGGUGUAUUCUUAAACAUACAAAAAAAUAUAAAACAUUAUUUAGUCAUGUACAUAAUAUUAUGUAGAAUGAAUUACAAUAAAUUAUUAAAUAUGGUAAAUAGUACAAAAAACAUUAAUAUUACUUUAUUAUUUUUAUCAUCCCAAUAAGCAAAUCUAGAUUUGGCUUUCCUUAUAAUGUAUUUAUCUUCCACAGUUUGUUCGCCAAUUUUGAUGCCAUUUAAAAUUUCCAAAAAUUUACUGUGCUUGGGACACCACCAUUCAGUACAAUUCUAAUAACAUACAAAUUAUAAAUAUGAUAUUAAAACUAUUUUAAAUAAAUACAUUACAUAAUUUGUUUUCAAUGUAUCAUCGAUGACAUUUAUCAGACUGCUUGUCUCAUCUUGUAAUUUCAAUCUAUCCAUCUUUGAGCAUACAAGUUUUUCUAUAAAAGAAACCUUGGAUUCAAUCGGCAGUAAAUCAUCUCUCUUAACAUAAUU
This is a long non-coding RNA of Metopolophium dirhodum (rose-grain aphid), 2572 nucleotides long. RefSeq lists it as uncharacterized. The record is from RefSeq and is a predicted model, not a curated record. NCBI's taxonomy places the organism in Eukaryota, Metazoa, Arthropoda, Insecta, Hemiptera, Aphididae. The transcript has 3 exons.